AGAGUUUGAUCAUGGCUCAGAUUGAACGCUGGCGGAAUGCUUUACACAUGCAAGUCGAACGAUGAACCUUAGCUUGCUAAGGGGAUUAGUGGCGAACGGGUGAGUAAUAUAUCGGAACGUGCCUUGUAAUGGGGGAUAACUAGUCGAAAGAUUAGCUAAUACCGCAUACGCCCUGAGGGGGAAAGUAGGGGAUCUUCGGACCUUACGUUAUAAGAGCGGCCGAUAUCUGAUUAGCUAGUUGGUGGGGUAAUGGCCUACCAAGGCGACGAUCAGUAGCUGGUCUGAGAGGACGACCAGCCACACUGGAACUGAGACACGGUCCAGACUCCUACGGGAGGCAGCAGUGGGGAAUUUUGGGCAAUGGGCGCAAGCCUGAUCCAGCCAUUCCGCGUGAGUGAAGAAGGCCUUCGGGUUGUAAAGCUCUUUCGCAAGGGAAGAAAACUUACAUUCUAAUAAAGUGUGAGGCUGACGGUACCUUGAUAAGAAGCACCGGCUAACUACGUGCCAGCAGCCGCGGUAAUACGUAGGGUGCGAGCGUUGAUCGGAAUUACUGGGCGUAAAGCGUGCGCAGGCGGUUUGGCAAGUCAGAUGUGAAAUCCCCGAGCUCAACUUGGGAACUGCGUUUGAAACUGCCAGACUAGAAUAUGUCAGAGGGGGGUAGAAUUCCACGUGUAGCAGUGAAAUGCGUAGAGAUGUGGAGGAAUACCAAUGGCGAAGGCAGCCCCCUGGGAUAAUAUUGACGCUCAUGCACGAAAGCGUGGGGAGCAAACAGGAUUAGAUACCCUGGUAGUCCACGCCCUAAACGAUGUCUACUAGUUGUUGGUGGAGUAAAAUCCAUGAGUAACGCAGCUAACGCGUGAAGUAGACCGCCUGGGGAGUACGGUCGCAAGAUUAAAACUCAAAGGAAUUGACGG
RNAcentral lists this ribosomal RNA (914 nucleotides) under uncultured bacterium. RNAcentral describes it as "bacterial SSU rRNA". It matches the Rfam family "Bacterial small subunit ribosomal RNA", at positions 8 to 916 of the family's 1533-position model. The record is from RNAcentral.